GGCGGCGUUGCUUUAACACAUGCAAGUCGAAACGGUGAAACCAGAGCUUGCUCUGGGGAUCAGUGGCGAACGGGUGAGUAACACGUGGGCAACCUGCCCCAGACUCUGGGAAUUAACCCCGGGAAACCGGAGCUAAUAUCGGAUAUGACCACUUCGGACAUCCGAUGGUGGUGGAAAGUUUUUCGGUCUGGGAUGGGCCGCGGCCUAUCAGCUAGUUGUGGGGUAAUGGCCUACCAAGGCGACGACGGGUAGCCGGCCUGAGAGGGCGACCGGCCACACUGGAACUGAGACACGGUCCAGACUCCUACGGGAGGCAGCAGUGGGAAUAUUGCACAAUGGCGAAAGCCUGAUGCAGCGACGCCGCGUGAGGGACGACGGCCUUCGGGUUGUAAACCUCUUUCAGCAGGGACGAAGCGAAAGUGACUGUACCUGCAAAAGAAGCACCGGCUAACUACGUG
RNAcentral lists this ribosomal RNA (458 nucleotides) under uncultured bacterium. Its description in RNAcentral is "bacterial SSU rRNA". It matches the Rfam family "Bacterial small subunit ribosomal RNA", at positions 38 to 507 of the family's 1533-position model. The record is from RNAcentral.